CAAGUGUGCAUGCAGUAAUGAAUACAAACAUGCAUUAUCUAUCUAAGCAUGUACACAUACAGAUCUUAUGGAUCCAGCUAUAAUGUACGUGAUUGCGUUCAUAAUGUUAUUCUUUAUGUUGCUUGGGCGUUUGUGUAGGCGUAUGUGUGUAAUGAGCAGAAUGUACAUGGAGCGCAGUGGGAAAAAAGCAAGUUGGCCGUUCUCAGUGUUGCAGACUGCCAGUCCCCUAUUCUUCAGUUCAGGAAACCUGUGAUCCAGCAGAGAGCAGUUGGCAGACACAACAGAACAGCCUGCACUGAGACACAGGGAGUGAGGGAGGGAGUGCGGGGAGAACAAGGCUGGAGGAUCCCAUAAACUCAAAGAAUUACAGGAGAAGAUGAAAGCAAUGAGCUAUUGGAGCAAAUAAAAAUGCACAUUGUUAAAAAUGAACUUUAAUGACUUCUGGUAACAAUAGGGUUCAGCAGCCUCGUUCUUAUCAAGGAACAUUUUUCACUGUAUAAUGUUGAGGUGGACUGUAGAUCAUUGUUUUCACGAUUUCUGAAUGUUAGUUAUUAAAACAGCGUAUUGGUUUAUGUGUUUUAAAUUAGAUUACCAGUGCAUAGACUGGUGCACAUGCCUACCUGAGGUUUGCUCUGAGCUCCAGACCAGCAGGGGGCCCUGAUGGGUUACAGCAACAGACCUGGAAUUUUUACAGCCGCGGUGUGUUUGACAAGUGUUCAGUAUAACGUCAAACUUCACGGUAGGAGCCGGGCUCUACCGAGCACGCCCAAUAGUGUCUGCCCUGCGUUAUGGCCACGUCACCCACAAGCAAGUCUGUGGUCAGGUGACAGGAAGUGAGGGCCCGGUCUGCGGC
Long non-coding RNA from Triplophysa rosa, 853 nucleotides. RefSeq lists it as uncharacterized. The transcript has 3 exons. The record is from RefSeq and is a predicted model, not a curated record. Lineage: Eukaryota; Metazoa; Chordata; Actinopteri; Cypriniformes; Nemacheilidae.